GAUGAAGAACGUAGCGAAAUGCGAUAAGUAAUGUGAAUUGCAGAAUUCAGUGAAUCAUCGAAUCUUUGAACGCACAUUGCGCCCGUCAGUAUUCUGGCGGGCAUGCCUGUUCGAGCGUCAUUACGCCCCUCAAGUCCCCUGUGGACUUGGUGUUGGGGAUCGGCGAGGCUGGUUUUCCAGCACAGCCGUCCCUUAAAUUAAUUGGCGGUCUCGCCGUGGCCCUCCUCUGCGCAGUAGUAAAACACUCGCAACAGGAGCCCGGCGCGGUCCACUGCCGUAAAACCCCCCAACUUUUUAUAGUUGACCUCGAAUCAGGUAGGACUACCCGCUGAACUUAAGCAUCUCAAUAAGCGGAGGA
RNAcentral lists this unclassified non-coding RNA (358 nucleotides) under soil metagenome. RNAcentral's name for it is "partial contains 5.8S ribosomal RNA, internal transcribed spacer 2, and large subunit ribosomal RNA". The stretch from base 1 to 120 matches the Rfam family "5.8S ribosomal RNA", at positions 35 to 154 of the family's 154-position model. The record is from RNAcentral.